RNAcentral lists this ribosomal RNA (253 nucleotides) under uncultured bacterium. Its description in RNAcentral is "partial 16S ribosomal RNA". It matches the Rfam family "Bacterial small subunit ribosomal RNA", at positions 524 to 776 of the family's 1533-position model. The record is from RNAcentral.
UACGGAGGGGACUAGCGUUGUUCGGAAUUACUGGGCGUAAAGCGCACGUAGGCGGAUUUGUAAGUCAGGGGUGAAAUCCCGGGGCUCAACCUCGGAACUGCCUUUGAUACUGCAAAUCUCGAGUCCGGAAGAGGUGAGUGGAAUUCCUAGUGUAGCGGUGAAAUGCGCAGAUAUCAGGAGGAACACCAAUUGCGAAGGCAGCUCGCUGGGACGUUACUGACGCUGAGACGCGAAAGCGUGGGGAGCAAACAGG